RNAcentral lists this ribosomal RNA (254 nucleotides) under uncultured bacterium. Its description in RNAcentral is "partial 16S ribosomal RNA". It matches the Rfam family "Bacterial small subunit ribosomal RNA", at positions 524 to 776 of the family's 1533-position model. The record is from RNAcentral.
UACGUAGGGUGCGAGCGUUAAUCGGAAUUACUGGGCGUAAAGCGUGCGCAGGCGGUUAUAUAAGACAGUUGUGAAAUCCCCCGGGCUCAACCUGGGAAUUGCAUCUGUGACUGUAUAGCUAGAGUACGGUAGAGGGGGAUGGAAUUCCGCGUGUAGCAGUGAAAUGCGUAGAUAUGCGGAGGAACACCGAUGGCGAAGGCAAUCCCCUGGACCUGUACUGACGCUCAUGCACGAAAGCGUGGGGAGCAAACAGG